CCGUGCUAGGCGGGGAGCUAGCGGUGCCCUGUAUCCGCAAACCGCUUUAGCGGAGCUAAAUUCCCCUCCGAGGCUGUGUUGUCGUCGAUUCUAUUCGGUGAUUAUGGUGCCGAUAGAUGGGCCCCGUGCGACGAAAUAUCUCGAAUCCCGUCAGGUCCGGAAGGAAGCAGCGGUAAGAGAAUGUUUUCGGGUGCUGCGGGUAAACCUAUCUUGAGCCGAUGAUCCGUAACAAGGCGUUGGCACACAGUCGAAGUAGGGUGCACGG
This 265-nucleotide signal recognition particle RNA is filed under the name marine eukaryotic metagenome. RNAcentral describes it as "Bacterial large signal recognition particle RNA". It matches the Rfam family "Bacterial large signal recognition particle RNA". From Rfam's summary of the family: The signal recognition particle (SRP) is a universally conserved ribonucleoprotein involved in the co-translational targeting of proteins to membranes. The record is from RNAcentral.